Molecule: transfer RNA, 68 nt
Filed under: bovine gut metagenome
Rfam family: tRNA
About the family: Transfer RNA (tRNA) molecules are approximately 80 nucleotides in length.
Source: RNAcentral
GCUAUAGCUCAGCUGGAUAGAGCGUCAGAUUGCGGAUCUGAAGGUCGAAGGUUCGAAUCCUUUUAGCA